GCUUUCCUUGUCUUGGGGUGGAUUGGGAAUCUCAAUGAACGUCUGGUGAGAGAUUCCCUGCUGACACCAUAAUCAACACGUAGGCAUCGCCCGAACCUCAGGUUCUGGGUCUGGUGCAAUUUUUGGAAAC
Small nuclear RNA from Scophthalmus maximus (turbot), 130 nucleotides. The record is from Ensembl. NCBI's taxonomy places the organism in Eukaryota, Metazoa, Chordata, Actinopteri, Pleuronectiformes, Scophthalmidae.